This 1448-nucleotide ribosomal RNA is filed under the name uncultured organism. Its description in RNAcentral is "SSU rRNA". It matches the Rfam family "Bacterial small subunit ribosomal RNA". The record is from RNAcentral.
GAACGCUAGCUACAGGCUUAACACAUGCAAGUCGAGGGGCAUCAGGAAGAAAGCUUGCUUUCUUUGCUGGCGACCGGCGCACGGGUGAGUAACACGUAUCCAACCUGCCCUUUACUCGGGGAUAGCCUUUCGAAAGAAAGAUUAAUACCCGAUGGCAUAAUGAUUCCGCAUGGUUUCAUUAUUAAAGGAUUCCGGUAAAGGAUGGGGAUGCGUUCCAUUAGGUUGUUGGUGGGGUAACGGCCCACCAAGCCUUCGAUGGAUAGGGGUUCUGAGAGGAAGGUCCCCCACAUUGGAACUGAGACACGGUCCAAACUCCUACGGGAGGCAGCAGUGAGGAAUAUUGGUCAAUGGGCGCUAGCCUGAACCAGCCAAGUAGCGUGAAGGAUGAAGGCUCUAUGGGUCGUAAACUUCUUUUAUAUAAGAAUAAAGUGCAGUAUGUAUACUGUUUUGUAUGUAUUAUAUGAAUAAGGAUCGGCUAACUCCGUGCCAGCAGCCGCGGUAAUACGGAGGAUCCGAGCGUUAUCCGGAUUUAUUGGGUUUAAAGGGAGCGUAGGUGGACUGGUAAGUCAGUUGUGAAAGUUUGCGGCUCAACCGUAAAAUUGCAGUUGAUACUGUCAGUCUUGAGUACAGUAGAGGUGGGCGGAAUUCGUGGUGUAGCGGUGAAAUGCUUAGAUAUCACGAAGAACUCCGAUUGCGAAGGCAGCUCACUGGACUGCAACUGACACUGAUGCUCGAAAGUGUGGGUAUCAAACAGGAUUAGAUACCCUGGUAGUCCACACAGUAAACGAUGAAUACUCGCUGUUUGCGAUAUACAGUAAGCGGCCAAGCGAAAGCAUUAAGUAUUCCACCUGGGGAGUACGCCGGCAACGGUGAAACUCAAAGGAAUUGACGGGGGCCCGCACAAGCGGAGGAACAUGUGGUUUAAUUCGAUGAUACGCGAGGAACCUUACCCGGGCUUAAAUUGCAGUGGAAUGAUGUGGAAACAUGUCAGUGAGCAAUCACCGCUGUGAAGGUGCUGCAUGGUUGUCGUCAGCUCGUGCCGUGAGGUGUCGGCUUAAGUGCCAUAACGAGCGCAACCCUUAUCUUUAGUUACUAACAGGUUAUGCUGAGGACUCUAGAGAGACUGCCGUCGUAAGAUGUGAGGAAGGUGGGGAUGACGUCAAAUCAGCACGGCCCUUACGUCCGGGGCUACACACGUGUUACAAUGGGGGGUACAGAAGGCAGCUAGCGGGUGACCGUAUGCUAAUCCCAAAAGCCUCUCUCAGUUCGGAUCGAAGUCUGCAACCCGACUUCGUGAAGCUGGAUUCGCUAGUAAUCGCGCAUCAGCCACGGCGCGGUGAAUACGUUCCCGGGCCUUGUACACACCGCCCGUCAAGCCAUGGGAGCCGGGGGUACCUGAAGUACGUAACCGCAAGGAUCGUCCUAGGGUAAAACUGGUGACUGGGGCU